Molecule: transfer RNA, 73 nt
Filed under: Nestor notabilis (Kea)
Lineage: Eukaryota; Metazoa; Chordata; Aves; Psittaciformes; Psittacidae
Rfam family: tRNA
About the family: Transfer RNA (tRNA) molecules are approximately 80 nucleotides in length.
Source: Rfam by way of RNAcentral
GCUCUACCACCUGAGUUGGUAGAGCAUGAGACUCUUAAUCUCAGGACUGUGGGUUCGAGCCCCAUGUUGGGCG